This 450-nucleotide ribosomal RNA is filed under the name uncultured bacterium. Its description in RNAcentral is "partial 16S ribosomal RNA". It matches the Rfam family "Bacterial small subunit ribosomal RNA", at positions 354 to 796 of the family's 1533-position model. The record is from RNAcentral.
GUGGGGAAUAUUCCGCAAUGGACGAAAGUCUGACGGAGCAACGCCGCGUGAGUGAUGAAGGUUUUCGGACUGUAAAGCUCUGUUGUUUAGGACGAAAGUGCCUGUUGCAAAUAGUUACAGGUAUUGACGGUACUGAACGAGGAAGCCACGGCUAACUACGUGCCAGCAGCCGCGGUAAUACGUAGGUGGCAAGCGUUGUCCGGAAUUAUUGGGCGUAAAGAGCAUGUAGGCGGGAAUCUAAGUCUGUUGUGAAAAUGCGGGGCUCAACCCCGUAUUGCGAUGGAAACUGGGUUUCUUGAGUGCAGGAGAGGAAAGGGGAAUUCCCAGUGUAGCGGUGAAAUGCGUAGAGAUUGGGAGGAACACCAGUGGCGAAGGCGCCUUUCUGGACUGUGUCUGACGCUGAGAUGCGAAAGCCAGGGUAGCGAACGGGAUUAGAUACCCUGGUAGUCC